UACGGGGGGGGUAAGCGUUGUUCGGAUUUACUGGGCGUAAAGGGCGCGUAGGCGGCGUGUUAAGUCAGCUGUGAAAUCUCCAAGCUUAACUUGGAACGGUCAGCUGAUACUGAUGUGCUAGAGUGCAGAAGGGGCAACCGGAAUUCUUGGUGUAGCGGUGAAAUGCGUAGAUAUCAAGAGGGACACCUGAGGUGAAGACGGGUUGCUGGGCUGACACUGACGCUGAGGCGCGAAAGCCAGGGGAGCGAACGGG
This 253-nucleotide ribosomal RNA is filed under the name uncultured bacterium. RNAcentral describes it as "partial 16S ribosomal RNA". It matches the Rfam family "Bacterial small subunit ribosomal RNA", at positions 524 to 776 of the family's 1533-position model. The record is from RNAcentral.